AUGAACAUGAGGGCCCCUUUUCAGUUACUUGGGUUUCUAUUGCUCUGGUUUCAAGGUGCCCUAUGUGGCAUCCAGAUGACCCAGUCUCCAUCCUCCCUGUCUGUCUCUCUGGGAGACAGAAUCACCAUCAGUUGCAGCGCAAGUGCGAGUAUUAGCAAUUAUUUAAACUGGUAUCAAAAGAAUCCAGAUGGAACUGUUCAACUCCUGAUCUACUAUACUUCGAAUUUACACUCAGGAGUCCCAUCAAGGUUCAGUGGCAGUGGGUCUGGGACAGAUCAUUUGCUCACCAUCAACAGUCUGGAACCUGAAGAUAUUGUCACUUGUUACUGUCAAAAAUAUAAUAAGUUUCCUCCCACAGAGUUACAAGUUAUAACAUAA
Rattus norvegicus (Norway rat) is the source of this 378-nucleotide non-coding RNA. Lineage: Eukaryota; Metazoa; Chordata; Mammalia; Rodentia; Muridae. The record is from the annotation of a RefSeq genome assembly.